UACGGAGGGUGCGAGCGUUGUCCGGAAUCAUUGGGCGUAAAGAGCGUGUAGGCGGCCAGACCGGUCCGUUGUGAAAACUGGAGGCUCAACCUUCAGACGUCGACGGAAACCGUCUGGCUAGAGUCCGGAAGAGGAGAGUGGAAUUCCUGGUGUAGCGGUGAAAUGCGCAGAUAUCAGGAAGAACACCGAUGGCGAAGGCAGCUCUCUGGGACGGUACUGACGCUGAGACGCGAAAGCGUGGGGAGCGAACAGG
RNAcentral lists this ribosomal RNA (253 nucleotides) under uncultured bacterium. RNAcentral's name for it is "partial 16S ribosomal RNA". It matches the Rfam family "Bacterial small subunit ribosomal RNA", at positions 524 to 776 of the family's 1533-position model. The record is from RNAcentral.